This 497-nucleotide ribosomal RNA is filed under the name uncultured bacterium. RNAcentral describes it as "partial 16S ribosomal RNA". It matches the Rfam family "Bacterial small subunit ribosomal RNA", at positions 28 to 507 of the family's 1533-position model. The record is from RNAcentral.
GAUGAACGCUGGCGGCGUGCCUAAUACAUGCAAGUCGAGCGAACGGACGAGAAGCUUGCUUCUCUGAUGUUAGCGGCGGACGGGUGAGUAACACGUGGAUAUCCUACCUAUAAGACUGGGAUAACUUCGGGAAACCGGAGCUAAUACCGGAUAAUAUUUUGAACCGCAUGGUUCAAAAGUGAAAGACGGUCUUGCUGUCACUUAUAGAUGGAUCCGCGCUGCAUUAGCUAGUUGGUAAGGUAACGGCUUACCAAGGCAACGAUGCAUAGCCGACCUGAGAGGGUGAUCGGCCACACUGGAACUGAGACACGGUCCAGACUCCUACGGGAGGCAGCAGUAGGGAAUCUUCCGCAAUGGGCGAAAGCCUGACGGAGCAACGCCGCGUGAGUGAUGAAGGUCUUCGGAUCGUAAAACUCUGUUAUUAGGGAAGAACAUAUGUGUAAGUAACCGUGCACAUCUUGACGGUACCUAAUCAGAAAGCCACGGCUAACUACGUG